Bolinopsis microptera is the source of this 380-nucleotide long non-coding RNA. RefSeq lists it as uncharacterized. NCBI's taxonomy places the organism in Eukaryota, Metazoa, Ctenophora, Tentaculata, Lobata, Bolinopsidae. The transcript has 3 exons. The record is from RefSeq and is a predicted model, not a curated record.
UGUAAUUCUGAAUUAUGUUGCUGAACAAACUUGACAAUCACCAUUAGAAAGAAGGUGACAUGUUUAUGGACCCAGAACUAGCUAAGACAGUUCUCUGUGUACAUGCGGAUCACUUCAAGAAUCUUCUUGAUGAAAGAAGCUUGUGUGGUUUGUUAAAAGACUUCGAUCUGCUCACAGCCAUGCAGAUUAAGAAGAAUUUAGAUCGACAUUAUUUUGAUAACAAUGAAAACUCAAAUGCUUGGAACGAAAUGAGUGGAGUUGAACGACGCCCUGUUUAUCGAAACUACAUCAAUCAACUUUUCAACUAUGCAGGGUUUCAAAAUGUACAAGGCAUCAUAUCAAAGAUUGCAUAUGCCCGAAAGAAGGACAAAUCCAAUUUG